RNAcentral lists this ribosomal RNA (200 nucleotides) under uncultured bacterium. RNAcentral describes it as "partial 16S ribosomal RNA". It matches the Rfam family "Bacterial small subunit ribosomal RNA", at positions 29 to 256 of the family's 1533-position model. The record is from RNAcentral.
AGCGAACGCUGGCGGCAGGCCUAACACAUGCAAGUCGAACGAACUCUUCGGAGUUAGUGGCGGACGGGUGAGUAACACGUGGGAACGUGCCUUUUGGUUCGGAGUAACUCAGGGAAACUUGUGCUAAUACCGAAUGUGCCCUUCGGGGGAAAGAUUUAUCGCCAUUAGAGCGGCCCGCGUCUGAUUAGCUAGUUGGUGAG